RNAcentral lists this small nucleolar RNA (95 nucleotides) under Sorex araneus (European shrew). RNAcentral's name for it is "Small nucleolar RNA U13 (ENSSARG00000019116.1)". The stretch from base 14 to 92 matches the Rfam family "Small nucleolar RNA U13", at positions 23 to 104 of the family's 104-position model. The record is from RNAcentral. Lineage: Eukaryota; Metazoa; Chordata; Mammalia; Eulipotyphla; Soricidae.
AUCACUCCGGCCCUGAUGAUUGGGUAUUCAUACAUUUGUGUGACAUGUGUCUCCCUUAAAACUUGUUAUGCUCUUGGCACAGUACACUGUAGCAC